UCCUGUGUGGAAGGAUUUGUCCGAUUGCAACCACGGUAAAAAAUGCUAAACCCGGCUUU
Molecule: non-coding RNA, 59 nt
Organism: Cryomorphaceae bacterium
Lineage: Bacteria; Pseudomonadati; Bacteroidota; Flavobacteriia; Flavobacteriales; Cryomorphaceae
Source: Rfam